UGUUUCGGCUAGGGGGUCAUCCCGACUUACCAACCCGAUGCAAACUACGAAUACCGAAGAAUGUUAUCACGGGAGACACACGGCGGGUGCUAACGUCCGUCGUGAAGAGGGAAACAACCCAGACCGCCAGCUAAGGUCCCAAAGUCAUGGUUAAGUGGGAAACGAUGUGGGAAGGCACAGACAGCCAGGAUGUUGGCUUAGAAGCAGCCAUCAUUUAAAGAAAGCGUAAUAGCUCACUGGUCGAGUCGGCCUGCGCGGAAGAUGUAACGGGGCUAAACCAUGCACCGAAGCUGCGGCAGCGACACUAUGUGUUGUUGGGUAGGGGAGCGUUCUGUAAGCCUGCGAAGGUGUGCUGUGAGGCAUGCUGGAGGUAUCAGAAGUGCGAAUGCUGACAUAAGUAACGAUAAAGC
This 410-nucleotide ribosomal RNA is filed under the name Klebsiella pneumoniae subsp. pneumoniae. Its description in RNAcentral is "partial 23S ribosomal RNA". It matches the Rfam family "Bacterial large subunit ribosomal RNA", at positions 911 to 1318 of the family's 2925-position model. Lineage: Bacteria; Pseudomonadati; Pseudomonadota; Gammaproteobacteria; Enterobacterales; Enterobacteriaceae. The record is from RNAcentral.